Molecule: ribosomal RNA, 492 nt
Filed under: uncultured bacterium
Lineage: Bacteria
Description: partial 16S ribosomal RNA
Rfam family: Bacterial small subunit ribosomal RNA
Source: RNAcentral
AGUGAACGCUGGCGGUAGGCCUAACACAUGCAAGUCGAACGGCAGCACAGUAAGAGCUUGCUCUUACGGGUGGCGAGUGGCGGACGGGUGAGGAAUACAUCGGAAUCUACUUUUUCGUGGGGGAUAACGUAGGGAAACUUACGCUAAUACCGCAUACGACCUACGGGUGAAAGCAGGGGAUCUUCGGACCUUGCGCGAUUGAAUGAGCCGAUGUCGGAUUAGCUAGUUGGCGGGGUAAAGGCCCACCAAGGCGACGAUCCGUAGCUGGUCUGAGAGGAUGAUCAGCCACACUGGAACUGAGACACGGUCCAGACUCCUACGGGAGGCAGCAGUGGGGAAUAUUGGACAAUGGGCGCAAGCCUGAUCCAGCCAUACCGCGUGGGUGAAGAAGGCCUUCGGGUUGUAAAGCCCUUUUGUUGGGAAAGAAAAGCUGUAGGUUAAUACCCCGCUGUUCUGACGGUACCUAAAGAAUAAGCACCGGCUAACUUCGUG